UACGAAGGGGGCUAGCGUUGCUCGGAAUGACUGGGCGUAAAGGGCGCGUAGGCGGUUUGUACAGUCAGGUGUGAAAUUCCCGGGCUCAACCUGGGGGCGGCACUUGAGACGUAGGAACUGGAGUGAGGAAGAGGGUCGUGGAAUUCCCAGUGUAGAGGUGAAAUUCGUAGAUAUUGGGAAGAACACCGGUGGCGAAGGCGGCAUCCUGGACCAAUUCUGACGCUGAGGAGCGAAAGCCAGGGGAGCAAACGGG
RNAcentral lists this ribosomal RNA (253 nucleotides) under uncultured bacterium. Its description in RNAcentral is "partial 16S ribosomal RNA". It matches the Rfam family "Bacterial small subunit ribosomal RNA", at positions 524 to 776 of the family's 1533-position model. The record is from RNAcentral.